RNAcentral lists this ribosomal RNA (442 nucleotides) under uncultured bacterium. RNAcentral describes it as "partial 16S ribosomal RNA". It matches the Rfam family "Bacterial small subunit ribosomal RNA", at positions 338 to 795 of the family's 1533-position model. The record is from RNAcentral.
CCUACGGGUGGCAGCAGUGGGGAAUAUUGGGCAAUGGGCGCAAGCCUGACCCAGCAACGCCGCGUGAAGGAAGAAGGCUUUCGGGUUGUAAACUUCUUUUAAGAGGGAAGAGCAGAAGACGGUACCUCUUGAAUAAGCCACGGCUAACUACGUGCCAGCAGCCGCGGUAAUACGUAGGGGGCAAGCGUUAUCCGGAUUUACUGGGUGUAAAGGGAGCGUAGACGGCACUGCAAGUCCGGAGUGAAAGCCCAAGGCUUAACCAUGGGACUGCUCUGGAAACUGUGGAGCUUGAGUGCGGGAGGGGCAGGCGGAAUUCCUAGUGUAGCGGUGAAAUGCGUAGAUAUUAGGAGGAACACCGGCGGCGAAGGCGGCCUGCUGGACCGUAACUGACGUUGAGGCUCGAAAGCGUGGGGAGCAAACAGGAUUAGAUACCCGAGUAGUC